This 1661-nucleotide small RNA is filed under the name Malus domestica (apple). RNAcentral describes it as "sRNA MD05G0006700". The record is from RNAcentral. Lineage: Eukaryota; Viridiplantae; Streptophyta; Magnoliopsida; Rosales; Rosaceae.
UCAUUUUGCUGUUAUUGAUCUUUAAGUUUAUACAACACACUAAGGAUGGAUUGCAGAGUUCAAGAAAGAGGAGUUGAUUAAUGAGCACUUACAUGUUGACGCUUAAGUUUGAUUCUUAAUUAAACACAACUUCAUAUCGUGGAAGUUUAUGUGGAAAUACAGCUUGGUGUCUGCAUCCUUUAGCAUAAUAAACGAGGAUGAAUCUCUUCAUUUUGCGCCCUUAGUUCUCAAUUGGAUUCACGGUAAACACCCAGAAAUUUAGAGAGUAAAAACCUUGAAACUUAAAGAUCUUACCCCGUAGUGCUCAAUCCAGAGAAUUGGUACUCAUAAUCAAUAAGAUUCAUACGGGUUAUUGGUAUCAAUUUUGGUUGCAGCAAUGCUAUUCUUGCUGAACACCUGCCAUAUGUGUGAGGCAUUAGCCAUGAUUUCAUCUGGGCAAUUACGAAAUAUCAAAAAGUAUCCUCUUUGCUAAGGAUAACACACUCCUGCAGGAACUAGACAUCCCAAUAUUUUGCAAUCUGAUUACAGAUUAUCUACCAAAAGUACAUACCUCUAUCAAUUAUAUGAUAUUUUUAGUGGCUUUGUUCUAUGUUAGAUAUUGACAUACAACAUUAAAAUCUCGAUCAUGGUCCACUAAAAAAGUAUUAAACGUGUUAUAAAUAGAAACACAUUCUAACAUGGAUUUCUUUUUACAAUGGAGACCAAUAUUCAGAACACAGUGAACAAGUUUUUACAAGCUAAUCCUGCUGGUAAUAGAAACCACAUCCUUUGUCUCUCUGCUUACUUGCUUUUUAACAUGGAGAGAAAUUUAAUCUGUAUUUCAGAAUUAGUGGUCUUCUUGAUGUCCAACUGUAGGGGUCUUGAAAUUGUAUUUUGGAAUUAGUGAUCUUGAUUCAGAACAAAAGGACUCUGAACAGUUCAAAGGUUUUGGGAAAGAAGUGCUUUUUAAUCAGGCCAAUUGGGUCCUCCUAGCAGUACAACCUCGAAAAAGUUUUAAGUUCAAGUCCGAUAGUUUUGGCAAGAUGCAAAUGGGUUUUGAUUGGGAAGGUAACAUCAUCCUAUAUAUGUUUUGAAGCAAUUUACUUAUUUGCAUUUUUCAGUUUUAUGUGUCCCAAGAGUUUUCAAGUGUUAAUAAGGACCUCGAAAAGGUUAAUCAGUAGUGCUUUAGUGGUACAAAAUGUGAACAUCACUUUGAGUGAUUAAUAUAAAUCUCUACGUUUUCAUUUUGAAUGUUGAAGUUGAAAAUUGCUUUGGUUAGGAUACUAAUGAUCAGAAAAAAAUAACUUUGACUAAAUUUCUUUUUUGUUGUUUUCAUAUGCUUCUUCUGUGGUGGGUUUUGAAAUUUCAGUUGUGGAAGUGAAAUUCACUUCUCAAAAUAGUUACGAUAAUGCCUAUUUUUCUCUCAAAACUCUUUCAGCCGAGUUGCCACAAUCAGUGAUUGAAGCUCUCCAUAACGAGUCAGACAUCAGCCUGAUACACUACUCUCACUCUUUCCUGCUUUUAAUUUUGAUUGUUUAUGAACUGUGUACUGUUUGCUUUUUAUUUGCAAUUUGUUGCUGAAUUUUAUUUUGAUAAUUUGUGAAUUUUGUUUUAUUUUUUGUUCGACAUCUUUUAAGGGUUAUUGCCCACAAAUUCUCUUUAGGCCAAACAAUAACGUUAGA